Peromyscus eremicus (cactus mouse) is the source of this 231-nucleotide long non-coding RNA. RefSeq lists it as uncharacterized. Lineage: Eukaryota; Metazoa; Chordata; Mammalia; Rodentia; Cricetidae. The record is from RefSeq and is a predicted model, not a curated record. The transcript is spliced from 2 exons.
CUUGGUAACCGGAGAGACUAAGAUGGCAACCAACCAAAAAUUAAAGCCCUCAGAUCAGCAUGCCUGAGAACAAAAAUGGAUAGAGAUGAGAAGAAACUGUAGUCACAGAACGUCAGAAGAGUGAGACCAGAUCACACAGAGUCAUGGCUCUCCUAGGACCAGGGCUGUUACCAUGAAGUUAAGGAAGUGUACCUCCAACACCACUUACACGCUACUUCCAAGACCCUCAGG